UAGGACCAAGCGGAGGUGAUGCUGUCAUCUCCCAGUCUGAACUCUUUGCAUUGAAAUACCUCAUGCAUGCAGCUGAUCUGCUGUGUGCUACUAGGUAUGGGACAGCUGGCUGCUCUGUAAGUUCAUCCAUACACCCUAUUGAGAGACGCUUCUGCCUUCUCUGAGAGAAGAUUUCAUCCAAAGAUCAUCAGCAGCAGCCACCAUCAGAGACAGCAGAAGGAAGCUGAGUAGGUCCCAGUUGCCUUUGUGUUGACAGCACGGUCUGCUCUAUUGCCCUUGAUCUCUACUGUGUGGCAUUGAUGUGGAGUCUUCUCAGAGUCUACACCUAUGUGGAGUUUGAGUCAAAAUCAGAUUCACUUUCUGUUAAAACUGAAGAUUUGAAGAAUUACACUGUAUCAGAGUUGGG
RNAcentral lists this long non-coding RNA (406 nucleotides) under Dromaius novaehollandiae (emu). RNAcentral describes it as "lncRNA (ENSDNVG00000001230.1)". Lineage: Eukaryota; Metazoa; Chordata; Aves; Casuariiformes; Dromaiidae. The record is from RNAcentral.